UAACGAGCGCGCAAUGAUGACGCAACACGCAGCCUGGGUUUUUUUUUUUCUUCUUUUCUGUCUAAAAGACCGGGCAGCGGAAUUUGUCUCCUCGCCUGCUGUUGUCACGGAGGAAGAAGACCAGUGCAAAGCGAAAGUAAUUUUAUAUGCAGAAGGAAGCAGUACAAAGCCCCUUGGAGGAGUGAGGUCCCAGAGCUGGGUCACCAUUGAAUCUGGGGCCCCGUCCUGUUUUGUGGAGUGGGGACCCUGUCUCCACACCACGCCACACCCCCAAUACCCCAGUGAUUGGAUGUUGGGCUUGUUCCUGGGGGUUUGGGUUUACUGAGCUAAUUGAUGAGGGAACUUGGGUAGACAGUGUUGCCUGCAGUGGCAAACCCUUAUCAGCUUCAGAAGAAAAACCACAAAGCUGCCUAAAAACUGCUUUCCUCAGAGCCUUUUUUUUUCUACUCUCUAAAAGGACCCAGGAAACCCUACCUAAGGGUCCCUUCUAUCCCUGUACCAUGAAAUGGUUGGCUUUAUGCGUGCAUAUUAAGUUAUGUAAUGAAAGAAUGUAUUUGCCUUGCUAAGCAUGAUCAUACCUACCUGUAAUCUCAUCCACUCUGGAGCUAAGCCUGGACAAUUCCAUUAUGUAGGCAGCCUGGUCAAAUUAGUGAGUCACUGCCUCACAAUGCCUGCUCCAUGGUGAAGCUUUGGCCUGGCACUCUCAAGGCCCUGUGUUCAAUUACCAGCACUGAAAAAAAAUUAUUGAUACGAGAGAGAAAUUUGAAAACUACCUUUUUCCUCAGAAUAGAGAGGAAAAACAAAAAGAUGAAAUCAGUAAGAUUUGGAGAAAGAUAAAAGUAAAAGUCAGAAGAUUGAGAAGCAACUUUUAAUUGGCAUAAUUAUACACAUCCCCCCAGAAAUAAUGAAAAAUAUAAUAGAAAAUCUUCAUGAGCUUUCUUUGAUUAGGUUGUAGGUGAAAGAGCUCACUGAAUUCAAGCCAGAAUCAAUCUUCAAUCCUGAAGAUUCCAGAUUUCAAGAAUUAAACACUUUUUGCAAGCAUUUUCCAGGAAAUGCAUACAACCUAUAAAGGAAAAAAAAAUCAGGAAAAAUAUUUUCUGUCAAACUAAAUGCUAGACAGUAAUGACAGAACAUCUGCAAAGAUUGUAACUCAUUUUUUAGAUAACACAUUUUUUUUUCUUUCUUUUUUUUUUUCAGUACCAGAGAUCGAACUCAGGAUCUUGCGCUUGAGAGGCA
This 1236-nucleotide long non-coding RNA is filed under the name Fukomys damarensis (Damara mole-rat). RNAcentral's name for it is "lncRNA (ENSFDAG00000023030.1)". Lineage: Eukaryota; Metazoa; Chordata; Mammalia; Rodentia; Bathyergidae. The record is from RNAcentral.